Molecule: ribosomal RNA, 249 nt
Filed under: uncultured prokaryote
Description: partial 16S ribosomal RNA
Rfam family: Bacterial small subunit ribosomal RNA
Source: RNAcentral
UACGGUAGGGGCAAGCGUUGUCCGGAAUUAUUGGGCGUAAAGCGCGCGCAGGCGGUCUCUUAAGUCUGAUGUGAAAUCUCGCAGCUUAACUGUGAGCGGUCAUUGGAAACUGAGGGACUUGAGGACAGGUGAGGAGAGUGGAAUUCCACGUGUAGCGGUGAAAUGCGUAGAGAUGUGGAGGAACACCAGUGGCGAAUGCGACUCUCUAGUCUGUAUCUGACGCUGAGGUGCAAAAGCGUGGGUAGCAAA